RNAcentral lists this small nuclear RNA (106 nucleotides) under Moschus moschiferus (Siberian musk deer). Lineage: Eukaryota; Metazoa; Chordata; Mammalia; Artiodactyla; Moschidae. The record is from RNAcentral.
UUGAAGUGUUCACUUCAGCGGCACGUAUACUGAAACCAUGCUAAGAAGACUAGCAUGGCCACCAUGAAAGGAUGACGUGAAAAUUCAUGAAGCGUUACAUAUGUGU